This 497-nucleotide ribosomal RNA is filed under the name uncultured bacterium. RNAcentral describes it as "partial 16S ribosomal RNA". It matches the Rfam family "Bacterial small subunit ribosomal RNA", at positions 28 to 507 of the family's 1533-position model. The record is from RNAcentral.
GAUGAACGCUGGCGGCGUGCCUAAUACAUGCAGGUAGAACGCUGAAGGAAGGAGCUUGCUCUUUCCGGAUGAGUUGCGAACGGGUGAGUAACGCGUAGGUGACCUGCCUGGUAGCGGGGGAUAACUAUUGGAAACGAUAGCUAAUACCGCAUAACAGUAGAUGUUGCAUGAUGUCUACUUAAAAGGUGCCAUUGCACCACUACCAGAUGGACCUUCGUUGUAUUAGCUAGUUGGUGAGGUAACGGCUCACCAAGGCGACGAUACAUAGCAGCACUGAGAGGGUGGGCGGCCAGACUGGGACUGAGACACGGCACAGACUCAUACGGGAGGCAGCCGUAGGGAAACGUGGGCCAGGGACGGAAGUCUGGCCGAGCAACGCCGCGGGAGGAAAGAAGGUUGUCGGAUCGUAAAGCUCUGUUGUAAGGGAAGAACGAGUGUGAGAGUGGAAAGUUCACACUGUGACGGUAUCUUAUCAGAAAGCAACGGCUAACUACGUG